RNAcentral lists this ribosomal RNA (478 nucleotides) under uncultured bacterium. RNAcentral describes it as "bacterial SSU rRNA". It matches the Rfam family "Bacterial small subunit ribosomal RNA", at positions 328 to 793 of the family's 1533-position model. The record is from RNAcentral.
UCAGUCGACUCCUACGGGGAGGCAGCAGUGGGGGAAUAUUGCACAAUGGGCGCAAGCCUGAUGCAGCCAUGCCGCGUGUAUGAAGAAGGACCUUCGGGUUGUAAAGUACUUUCAGCAGUGAGGAAGGUGGGUAUGUUAAUAGCAUAUUCAUUUGACGUUAGCUGCAGAAGAAAGCACCGGCUAACUCCGUGCCAGCAGCCGCGGUAAUACGGAGGGUGCGAGCGUUAAUCGGAAUUACUGGGCGUAAAGCGCAUGCAGGUGGUUUGUUAAGUCAGAUGUGAAAGCCCGGGGCUCAACCUCGGAAUUGCAUUUGAAACUGGCAAACUAGAGUACUGUAGAGGGGGGUAGGAAUUUCAGGUGUAGCGGUGAAAUGCGUAGAGAUCUGAAGGAAUACCGGUGGCGAAGGCGGCCCCCUGGACAGAUACUGACACUCAGAUGCGAAAGCGUGGGGAGCAAACAGGAUUAGAUACCCUGGUAG